Molecule: ribosomal RNA, 642 nt
Filed under: uncultured Nitrosospira sp.
Lineage: Bacteria; Pseudomonadati; Pseudomonadota; Betaproteobacteria; Nitrosomonadales; Nitrosomonadaceae
Description: partial 16S ribosomal RNA
Source: RNAcentral
UUGGGAGCUCUCCCAUAUGGUCGACCUGCAGGCGGCCGCGAAUUCACUAGUGAUUCGUAUUACCGCGGCUGCUGGCACGUAGUUAGCCGGGGCUUCUUCUGGAGGUACCGUCACCCUCUGGGCUAUUCACCCGAGUAGCUUCGUCCCUCCUGAAAGAGGUUUACAACCCGAAGGCCUUCUUCCCUCACGCGGCGUCGCUGCGUCAGGCUUUCGCCCAUUGCGCAAUAUUCCUUACUGCUGCCUCCCGUAGGAGUCUGGCCCGUGUCGCAGUGCCAGUGUGGCUGAUCGUCCUCUCAGACCAGCUACCCGUCGAAGCCUUGGUGAGCCGUUACCUCACCAACAAGCUGAUAGGACAUGAGCCCAUCCAAGAGCGCGAUACCCACGGUAUCGCUUUCCUCCCUGAACCGAAGUCCAAGAAGCGUACGCGGUAUUAGCUAACCUUUCGGCUAGUUAUUCCCCACUCGAGGGUAGGUUACCCAUGUAUUCCUCACCCGUUCGCCGCUUUACAAACGUAUUGCUACGUCUUCUCGCUCGACUUGCAUGUAUUAGGCGCGCCGCCAGCGUUCGUUCUGAGCCAUGAUCAAACUCUAAUCGAAUUCCCGCGGCCGCCAUGGCGGCCGGGAGCAUGCGACGUCGGGCCCA